Molecule: small RNA, 406 nt
Filed under: Pan troglodytes (chimpanzee)
Lineage: Eukaryota; Metazoa; Chordata; Mammalia; Primates; Hominidae
Description: retained intron
Source: RNAcentral
CAGUGUGGCAUGAUAAGCUUUGUGAUGGUGAACGCAGAGGAGCAAGAGAAGCAGUUCAUAUCUUCCAGGACCAAGCAAAAGCUAAAGAAGAAAAACUAGAGAAGUGUGGUGAGGAUGAUGAAACAAUCCCAUCUGAGUACAGAUUAAAACCAGCCAUGGAUAAAGAUGGAAAACCACUAUUGCCAGAGCCUGAAGAAAAACCCAAGCCUCGGAGUGAAUCAGAACUCAUUGAUGAACUUUCAGAAGAUUUUGACCGGUCUGAAUGUAAAGAAAAACCAUCUAAGCCAACUGAAAAGACAGAAGUAUGUUUCUAAACGUAUAAAUCUCUAGUUUUGAGGUUUGUGAUCUUAAAAAAAAAUUGUGAGACAGACUGUUUUAGCAUCAAGCAGUCUGUUAGAAAGCCCAA